GGGCGAAUAUUCAAGUGGCUAAAGAAGUGGAACUGCAACUUCCAUAUCGUGAGUUCAAAUCUCACUUCGCCCUCCA
This 76-nucleotide transfer RNA is filed under the name Caudoviricetes sp. Its description in RNAcentral is "tRNA-Cys". It matches the Rfam family "tRNA". Rfam says of the family: Transfer RNA (tRNA) molecules are approximately 80 nucleotides in length. The record is from RNAcentral. Lineage: Duplodnaviria; Heunggongvirae; Uroviricota; Caudoviricetes.